AUUUAAAUAAUGGGUACCCGGCUGCACUCGGGUCUCUUACCACCACCCCCUUCCACUGUUUCCCCCUCUUCACCCCAUCUCCCCCUGACCCCCUUGUUCCCUUCUUCUUGGUCAACCCCUUUCUCCCUCCCCUCGUCCUCUGCCUGCCCCACUCCCCCCUCCCUUCCCCCCUACUUCCCCUUUUCUAGGAAAAUGUAUUAUCAAAAUUCGAUGAAAGAACUGUGACUCUCAGAAAAAAAUAUUACUAUCACUAAAACUGUAGGGGGAAUCGCACCAAAUAUUUCACACUUGACACCAUGAAAAUCACACAGAGGGGUCUUCAUAACUGUUAAUAUUUCUUAAAGUAUCUAUCAUGGGCCUACCGUGAUCAACCUAUGUUCGUCCCAUACCCCAGACCAUUCCCCGUGCAAAUUUAGGCGAGGUUAGACGCUAGUUCCAAGUGUCUGACCUUCAAUUGUUGACAAACAAUAGCUCUCGUAUAACAAAUAUACAUAUUCUAGUCAUGGUAAAUAUGUUAAUAUAUUUAAGGCUAACAAUAUACAAAUAUAAAUCGAAAAGCCUUUUCAAGAGUACGUAAAGUCUGAGACGCCUAACAGACUGUACGGUAGCACAGUGUGGUCGUGGGGAAUCUGAUUGGCUAACUUGCUUUGACGUCACUGUUAACAAACAAUCCAAUUUGUCUAUUUUAAGUGACGUCGACAGGGUAAAAAAACGCUGUGAUUGGUUCAUUCGGUAGCAAGCAACGUUCUUGCCCGGUUCGUUGCAUGACGUAAUUACACGUCGUUAUUGUCGUAAAAAUGCUGUGUGAUUAGCUGGCCGGCGCAGCGGCGGUGGUUGGAACUGAUAAAAACGACCUAAUCUAAUCUAGCGAAUGGCCGAAAAUUCCCUGAGCAGACGUGAAAAUAAUAGACACUCGGCCGGUGGCAAGACAUAAUGACGUCAUGUAAAAUCAACCAAUCAGUAUUAGCGGCCCAAUGUCCAUGACAAAUCGACUCUCAUCAGCGGAUAAAUAGCCAGGAGGUGAUUGGACGAGCUUCUCGCUGACUCCGAUACUUUUCAACAAGAGCAAAGAAGCUAGACGUUAAGCUAAGUUAAGCUAAGCACCUGCCCUUUCAUUCGUGACCUUUGACCCAGUGUGUGUGUACUACGGGCUCACCAUAGUUCGUGCUACUUGGAACUUUUUGUUCCCGGUAGCGAAUCAUGAACAACAACAACAACAACAUUUGACCCAGACAUAGCUAAAAAAAAAAAUACAGUAAGGGAACUAUCAAGAGAAAGCACCAAGCCAUUAAGACUAUUUACCACUUGGAACGGAUCGUGAAAAGGAUUAAUGAUAGAUGGAACGGCGGGGAAAAAUAAUUGUGGCCAACCACGUGGACAGUCGGGGGAUUGAACGCCGACCUGCAUGAAGCGAGACCGUCGCUCUACCGUCCAGCCCAAGCAAUAAAAGAAUGGUGGUUGGUUCACUGAGGAGAAGAUGCUGAAGACAGCCCCCAAGCUGCGGAAGGGGAAACAAUUGUCUAUAUAUAACUAUGAACAAACUCUCACUCAAAAACACACACACAUAAAACGAUUUAAUGUCAACGUGAGAGGGAUAACGAAGCUCCGUCAAUGACAAUUUGACAUUAAGUGAUUCAUUGUUGGGUGAUGGUGACACAAGAGUGGUGAUGUUGUCAUUGUACCUGUGUGGUGGUGGUCAUGUGAGGAUAUGUGGGAUAUGUGGACGAGGAGCUGGGAUAUGAGGACGAGGAGCUGGGAUAUGAGGCCGAGGAGCUGGGAUAUGAGGCCGAGGAGCUGGGAUAUGAGGCCGAGGAGCUGGGAUAUGAGGCCGAGGAGCUGGGAUAUGAGGCCGGCUUGUAAGAACGGGCCCAACUACUUGAACCUUCUGGGAUCAAACGCGAACCCUGCAAGAAACGGAGAGUUGCUGCACCAAUUAGUCCAAGUGGAUGAUAAAAAAAGAGUAACUUAGAAAGGACUUGACGGAACGUUAAUAAAAUGAACGAAGGUAAAGGCGGUGACCCUAAGGAUUGAGACGAGUUAAGAAGUCAGUCGACGGAUGAGAUAUAAAGCCUUCGUAGUCGCGGUUAAAGUAGCGAGACUUUACGGAUCAGUAACAUUAAAGCGGCUUAUACAGUACAAAUGCGAAUGAUAUAACAUAUAAGUUAUAUACCACGGAAUAUAUACACCUGCACAUCAUUGCAAGUACAGAAAUGACAUUUACAACAAUCGUGUGGAUGAGCGUAAGGAGGAUUGUGAAGUUUAAUCUUGCGCUUAAGUGUAAGUGUGAGCUUGAAGGUAAGGUUGAGUGUUAGCUUGAGCGAGGACGCACCAUCACAGUAAAUUACACAGUGUCUGUGUACCCGCCUUCCUCCCUGUGCCAGCCGGGUAAACUCGUGUAUUUCUUAAGACUUCGCGGAGAUAAUGAACACCAUUAACUUACUUGAAGACCUACUUAGCUGAAAAUCUUAAUUAUACCAAGCACGAGGAAAGAAAUUUGUCUCGCUCAGUGCUAAUGAAAUUCAUUCAUUCACACAGCGCAAUAUAAUUUUUUAAAUAAAACAACGAACCCAUUUUUAUUUUGUUAUGUGUUAAUAAUUUUAUAGAAAUAAUGUAUACUCGAAGUUUGGGAAGUUACUAGACCCCAUAGGCUUAUUGCUGCGACAAUUUUCGGUCCCAAACCUUGGCCUAGCGUCACCACACUGGCUGAAGCAGGAUGCUGAUGUUCAGUUAUCGAAACUGUCCAAUUUCAGACCCAUUUUCGGCCCAGCAUACUUCACAUCAGUCUGGUGACGGAGACAGUCACUACACCAGGCGUUUCUAUGACGCUCUGAAGGCUAUGUAUAUGGACCACAGCCCUCUGGAGCUCUGCUUCCCUCCUCCCUGCUGAUGAGACUCUGCUGCUGACAUACAAGAAGCAGUUCUUGGACAGAUGAGUUGAACACAUUGAUCAGGUCCUUAGCCGUCCUGCCUCAGUCAACGAUGAGACCAUUGCUCGCCUCCCUGAAGUGGAACACGGAGGAUAGUCAUCUCUACUGACAUGACUAAACCUGGAUCCUGACACGAGCCUAAUACAGAGUUAAGAAUGUUCUGCGUGUUAGCAUACCCACUGACAUACCUCAUAUUAUACAGCUCAAGAAGGGAAUUUCUUGGUACUGAAGGAAGCAGACGCAAUAUGUCACAAGUGAUACCAUCUUCGCUGGGGGAUGUGGUUUUACCUUUGCUUAGGGUCGAGAGUAACUCAAACUCAGUUAGUGGCACGGUGCAUACAUCUUCCUUGUGGAGCAUGAAGUCAUCGAGGCUUUCUCGACCGCCAUAACCAUCAUUUAAUCUGAAUCGUUGGAGGAUAUUGUGACUGCCAAGGUGUGACGUCACGAGCGCCUGCCAGCCUCGUUCCAAGGAAGCACUGCUAGAGACAUCAUAUUAUGAUGUGCGAUUGUUUAUACACAGAUCAUUUGAUUCUCGAAAUGAAUUAAUUUAUAUUAUUUUAUGUUUAAGGAUUGUUAAUUACUCAGCACCGUAGGGGAUAUUUUCCGCAUCCUUCUCGCAUCCUCCCAUCCCGGCACGACCCCUUCCUUUCCUUCCCAUCUCUUCCAACCCGGGCACGACGCCCCCCCCCCCUCCUCCCUACUUCGCGCAAUGAACACAACAGCAGCAGCUGGGAGCCACGAGGCUUAUCACGUGACCAAUCAUGGAUUCCUUUUAUCUCACAGAGGUCGAUGUCAACAGCGGUGCCCCACUCCCCCCUUCCUCGGGGGCACGGCCCCCUCCCCUUCUUCCCCAGGGGCACGGCCCCCUCACCCAAGGGGCAUGGCUGUCUCCAGGAGGCAGAGGCUGCUCAUCGUUGAGAGCGGCGCCACGCAGGCCAUCAGAACGUCAACAACAAUCAGGUGGAAGAAGACAUGGCCACGGUAAUGAGCCGAGCGGGAAGGUCUGCUUCACAUAUAUUAAGCUCAUAAACAAGUCACUACCACGCGGCUUUUAAGAGGCAUUCAACGCUAAAAAUGAUUGGUCUUGACGAAUCAAAGGUUGGGUUUAGUACGCAUAAUGCUGCGUGUGGCACUACAGCAGACCCAAACUGGCCUGUGACGCUCCACUACCCCACUUGUAUCAUGCGAGAGGCUAGCCCUUAACGUCUGGCCUUCAACCUUAAAAUUCGGGCGGGAUCCCGGUCAUGUGGACAAGCAGCAACGAGCUCGACAAGACGACCUGGAGGUGGUUAUCUGGGUACACUGUCCUUCAGCUGGUCUCACACUGGCGGGCUCGGGCGACCACAGAAAAACAGGGAAGGCGACGAGGACUGUCUCGGGUACUGAAGAACGUCUCUAAGAACGGCAUGAAGUGAAGACGUUGCCUGUCACCGUCACGGCUGUCAUCUGUAACACAAGUCUUGGAUGUAUGUGUUUGGCAGAAAAUGGCCUGGUUCCCGAAUGAAGUUGUAAAACAUUAAAAUUUUAAACAGCUCAUGAUCUUAAAUACCUUAGCCAUGAGGUCUCUUAAUGCUUAAGUCUAUGCAGAUUGUCACUAACGACCUGAAGUGUCGUUGGGGCAAUGUUUAACUCAUUGGUUAAGGAAACUAUUAAUUGCUUGUGACUUCAAUGUCACAAUGACAACCCCCCCCCCUGACCUGCAUUGGUCCAAUGUCAGGUGAACCGCUGACAUGGGAACACACCUGUAACCCGCCCCCUCCCCUCGCCUACAGACCUGUGUAGGUGCAUUACUUGUAAAAUCUGGUUGUAGCGCACUUUUUGGACCUCGCUCCGUGACCUCGGUAGGUACAUUAUUUACAUAGAGUAGGACAGAUUUUUUGUCCUGUUUGGCAGUUACUAUCUGGAAGAGAACGAUGGCUAGACUUUCCAGUGUUAUAAAAUGCAUCUUUACAGGGUUUUGCAUUUCUAAUUGGGCACCUAAAUCACUUGCAUAGUUGCCUAUAUUUCUUUAUCCACAACUCCAUUCCAUAUUGCGAUCCAGAAUGGCGGUAGUAAAUCUCUGUAAACUAUUGGAAGUUUCUUCUAUACAUCAUAGAUGCAUAUUGAG
This is a long non-coding RNA of Procambarus clarkii (red swamp crayfish), 5034 nucleotides long. RefSeq lists it as uncharacterized. Lineage: Eukaryota; Metazoa; Arthropoda; Malacostraca; Decapoda; Cambaridae. The record is from RefSeq and is a predicted model, not a curated record.